This 916-nucleotide ribosomal RNA is filed under the name uncultured euryarchaeote. Its description in RNAcentral is "bacterial SSU rRNA". It matches the Rfam family "Archaeal small subunit ribosomal RNA", at positions 1 to 924 of the family's 1478-position model. The record is from RNAcentral. Lineage: Archaea; Methanobacteriati; Methanobacteriota.
UUCCGGUUGAUCCCGCCGGACCUGACUGCUAUCGGAUUGAUACUAAGCCAUGCGAGUCAUUGUAGCAAUACAAGGCAUGCGGCUCAGUAACGCGUAGUCAACCUAACCUAUGGACGGGAAUAACCUCGGGAAACUGAGAAUAAUGCCCGAUAGAACAUUAUACCUGGAAUGGUUUAUGUUCCAAAUGAUUUAUCGCCAUAGGAUGGGACUGCGGCCUAUCAGUUUGUUGGUGAGGUAAUGGCCCACCAAGACUAUUACAGGUACGGGCUCUGAGAGGAGUAGCCCGGAGAUGGGUACUGAGACACGGACCCAGGCCCUAUGGGGCGCAGCAGGCGAGAAAACUUUGCAAUGUGCGAAAGCACGACAAGGUUAAUCCGAGUGAUUUCUGCUAAAGAGAUCUUUUGUUAGUCCUAGAAACACUAACGAAUAAGGGGUGGGCAAGUUCUGGUGUCAGCCGCCGCGGUAAAACCAGCACCUCAAGUGGUCAGGAUGAUUAUUGGGCCUAAAGCAUCCGUAGCCGGCUCUGUAAGUUUUCGGUUAAAUCUGUACGCUCAACGUACAGGCUGCCGGGAAUACUGCAGAACUAGGGAGUGGGAGAGGUAGACGGUACUCGGUAGGAAGUGGUAAAAUGCUUUGAUCUAUCGAUGACCACCUGUGGCGAAGGCGGUCUACCAGAACACGUCCGACGGUGAGGGAUGAAAGCUGGGGGAGCAAACCGGAUUAGAUACCCGGGUAGUCCCAGCUGUAAACUAUGCAAACUCAGUGAUGCAUUGGCUUGUGGCCAAUGCAGUGCUGCAGGGAAGCCGUUAAGUUUGCCGCCUAGGAAGUACGUACGCAAGUAUGAAACUUAAAGGAAUUGGCGGGGGAGCACCACAAGGGGUGAAGCCUGCGGUUCAAUUGGAUUCAACGCCGGGAA